RNAcentral lists this ribosomal RNA (166 nucleotides) under Pellioditis sp. FUN120. RNAcentral's name for it is "partial 18S ribosomal RNA". It matches the Rfam family "Eukaryotic small subunit ribosomal RNA", at positions 249 to 417 of the family's 1831-position model. The record is from RNAcentral. Lineage: Eukaryota; Metazoa; Nematoda; Chromadorea; Rhabditida; Rhabditidae.
ACUCUGAAUACCGUAGCUAAUCGACGGAUUUUCCGUCGAUAACCGAAAGAAAGUUGUCUGCCCUAUCAACCAGAUGGUAGUCUAUUAGUCUACCAUGGUUAUCACGGGUAACGGAGAAUAAGGGUUCGACUCCGGAGAGGGAGCCUUAGAAACGGCUACCACAUCC